Molecule: long non-coding RNA, 262 nt
Filed under: Vitis vinifera (wine grape)
Lineage: Eukaryota; Viridiplantae; Streptophyta; Magnoliopsida; Vitales; Vitaceae
Description: long non-coding RNA (VVIN_LNC002434)
Source: RNAcentral
ACGGAUGGAGGACUGGGAUCCGAUGAGGCGGAGGGGGCAGUGGCCGAUAGUGGGAUGGAGACGAACUGCUGGGUCUGAGGCGGCGGCGCGUGGGAAAGGUUGGAGGGAGCGAGUGAAGCUGCGGCAGAAUUGAGGAAGACGAAAUUGGGGUGCAGCGGAGGGGGCGGUGGCGCGUCCGAGUAUCCAACGUAGGCAGGGUUCAUGAGAAUGAGAGUCUGUAACCCAUCAGCUUGGAUUUCUGAAUUCCCAUGAAAGUACGUCG